GCGCACUUGGCAGGCCCUUGGGAAAAACCUCAGCCCCAACAUUUUUUAUUUGACAAAGGGGUGCCAAACACCGCCUUGGACAUGGAUCUUGGGUAUUAUCACCGGGGCGGUUUCUUACCAAAUUGAUCCGGUGGAGCCCGAACUUUUCCUAAUGACGGUCCGACUUCGUCAGGCCCGUGCCAUGGCAUAAGCAAGCUAAACUGCGAGACAGUCAAGUCGAGCAGGUGUGAAACCAGGUCAUAGUGAUCCGGUGGUUCUGAAUGGAAGGGCCAUCGCUCAACGGAUAAAAGGUACUCAGGGGAUAACAGGCUGAUCCCGCCCAAGAGUUCAUAUCGAGGGCGGUGUUUGGCACCUCGAUUUCGGCUCAUCACAUCCUGGGGCUGAAGUAGCUCCCAAGGGUACAACUGUUCUCCAUGUAACGUCAAAAAUUAGCUGGGUAUAGCAACGUCCUUAACACCAAUCUAACGGUUC
This 471-nucleotide ribosomal RNA is filed under the name Pasteurella multocida. Its description in RNAcentral is "partial 23S ribosomal RNA". It matches the Rfam family "Bacterial large subunit ribosomal RNA", at positions 2173 to 2642 of the family's 2925-position model. Lineage: Bacteria; Pseudomonadati; Pseudomonadota; Gammaproteobacteria; Pasteurellales; Pasteurellaceae. The record is from RNAcentral.